RNAcentral lists this long non-coding RNA (541 nucleotides) under Gossypium raimondii (Peruvian cotton). Its description in RNAcentral is "long non-coding RNA (GRAI_LNC009962)". Lineage: Eukaryota; Viridiplantae; Streptophyta; Magnoliopsida; Malvales; Malvaceae. The record is from RNAcentral.
AGAGACCAAUAUGCAUUUGAUAUUUGUUUAAGAAAACCAUCCAUCAUAAAGCUCAAAUGCAAAAAUCAGCAUAUAAAUGAGCAUUAAAGGAAAACAAAUCAACUGAGAGAGCUUCGUGAAAGGGGAACCAUUCAGGCAAAUCAUUAUGUGCUAAGUGUGAGCUAGUAGAAAACCAUAAAGCACGUGCAAUAAAGCAGGGGAUCGAACAGAGAACCAAGACUCAACCGUAGACAGACCAAAAAUAAAAUGACUUGUAGGAAGUUGAGAUCCAGAGAAUGAGUCGGGUGGACUGAUUGAAGUGUUAAGAAGUUCUUUCAUGCCUAUUUUCCAGCACUUGGUGUGCAUGCAGAAAAAAGAAGAGAAAACCCCAAAUUAGAAGAAAAUGAUAGAAGAGAGAACAGAUUUAAUGAAGGACUGUAGUAGACAAUCACAAGAGGGCUAUGUUCCCCCCUCUUAUUUCUGUUCGUUAAAACAGUAGAAGAAAAUCCUAAGAGGAGAGCUCGCACAAGGAUCCCUCGCAAGAGAACGCUGUCUCUUUUCC